UACGAAGGGGGCUAGCGUUGCUCGGAAUCACUGGGCGUAAAGCGCACGUAGGCGGCUCUUUAAGUCAGGGGUGAAAUCCUGGAGCUCAACUCCAGAACUGCCCUUGAUACUGAGGAGCUUGAGUCCGGGAGAGGUGAGUGGAACUGCGAGUGUAGAGGUGAAAUUCGUAGAUAUUAGGAAGAACACCAGUGGCGAAGGCGGCUCACUGGCCCGGUACUGACGCUGAGGCGCGAAAGCGUGGGGAGCAAACAGG
RNAcentral lists this ribosomal RNA (253 nucleotides) under uncultured bacterium. Its description in RNAcentral is "partial 16S ribosomal RNA". It matches the Rfam family "Bacterial small subunit ribosomal RNA", at positions 524 to 776 of the family's 1533-position model. The record is from RNAcentral.